UCAAUUUCUAUUUCCUAGGUCCGUACCUCUACCUCAACUCUAAAUAAUUUCAUGAUAGGGUUAGUAGCUAAUCUUUAAUUUUAUUAAGUUGCAUGGUGGAGUUAUUUCAAAAGUAAUGUUUGGUAGAGAUGAGGUAGAAGUACUAACAUAGAAAUAGAAAUUCAGAAAGUUAACAAAAUAAGAAAAUAAAAAAAGUUAUAUUUAGCUCAAGAAUAGACAACUUAGCUUUUCAAGUAUCGGCUUCUAACUGAUGAUCAGUUCUUCAACUUAACAUGUGCCGAGGCAAAUCUUAUGUUCUUCGAGCUCCAAUCUUCAAGCACAUACCAUUUUUAACAAAUUAGAGUUUAAUAAAUUUUAUAUUUCUAAUUAACAAUCAUCAAACUAUAUUUUGUUCACUGUCCCAAUUUCUAUUUCCUAGGUCCGUACCUCUACCUCAACUCUAAAUAAUUUCAUGAUAGGGUUAGUAGCUAAUCUUUAAUUUUAUUAAGUUGCAUGGUGGAGUACAUCAAAAGUAUGUUUGGUAGAGAUGAGGUAGAAGUACUAACAUAGAAAUAGAAAUUCAGAAAGUUAACAAAAUAAGAAAAUAAAAAAAGUUAUAUUUAGCUCAAGAAUAGACAACUUAGCUUUUCAAGUAUCGGCUUCUAA
RNAcentral lists this long non-coding RNA (645 nucleotides) under Ricinus communis (castor bean). Its description in RNAcentral is "long non-coding RNA (RCOM_LNC003630)". The record is from RNAcentral. Lineage: Eukaryota; Viridiplantae; Streptophyta; Magnoliopsida; Malpighiales; Euphorbiaceae.